RNAcentral lists this microRNA precursor (64 nucleotides) under Caenorhabditis elegans. RNAcentral's name for it is "Cel-Mir-243_pre stem-loop". The record is from RNAcentral. Lineage: Eukaryota; Metazoa; Nematoda; Chromadorea; Rhabditida; Rhabditidae.
UAUCUCGGUGCGAUCGUACCGUAUCGCUCACACUUAGAUUACGGUACGAUCGCGGCGGGAUAUC